CUCCUCCCGGGAGCUUGGACCUGGGGCCGGCUCCAGCGGACUGGGCACCUGGCGCGGCCAAGUGCUGUGCUGGGGGGGUGGAGGCGCUUCAUCACAUUCACCCCGAAAUGGCGUCGUGAGAGAGGUGUUUUCGCGGGCUUUAGAAAGGACGAACAAAAAGGUUCAGAGAGCCACGUUUAGGGAUUUGUGCAAAACUCGCUCAGCCGGCGUGUUUGCAGAACCGGGUUUCAAAUCCAGAUUUUAAUAACUUCCAAAUCUGGUCUUUCCACUCCACUGACUUUUUUCUGGAUGAAAAUAAAUAAGCUGAGGCAUGUUCUCGGUUAUGGAAAGGAGGAGAUAUGGUCAAAAUCUAGAAGAUGCUUAGAGACAGGUGUAGAGCAAAUGCACUUUGGAGUGCCAGACCCCCGUAUCAAUUAGGAGAUGAAGGCCCGAGGCGGUAAUAGGAACUGCCAAACUAAUUAGUCCAUUUUAUGUCGUAGUUUCUCCCCAGAUGCUACGCAGGCUGAAGUUACAAAUAGCUUUAAAAACAUGGAUAAAUUGUGGUUGACAUGCUUUAUCAACCAUCAAGAAAAAUUAGGAUGUUGCGGAACAUUUCUGUAACUUCUGAAGUCUUCCUACAAGUGUUCACUGAUUCCAUUGUCUGCAUAGCUCAGUUGCUGCUCGUAGUAUUCACAUGUGUGUAAAAUAAAUGAGACGGUGUGCUGGAUGGCGCGUAACUGAACCAGAAUACGCUGUGGACAUUGUCUCCUUUUCCCAUCUGAAGAUUCAUGUUAAAACGCUCAACUGGAAAACACCCAGUUUGGAUGUAUUUAUUGAGGGAAAGAAAACAUACACAAAAUUAGCUAGGUUGGUAGAAAAUGUGACAUCUAUAUAACUAAACCAAAUAAUUGUACAUUACAUCUGCUUAAGAGAGAAAAAUGUCCGAAUUUUCCUGGGAAUAUCAAAGAGGACUAGGGAGUGGGAAAGCCAUGAAGUAUCACCUCAAAAUGGGAGAAAAGGACAUAUAAAGGAAAAGACAAUUACACAUGAAAAAAAUAAACUAAUGGACUGUGUGACAUUUUCUUGUUUUAAAACUAAUGGUAUUGAAUCUUGUGUACUUUUGCAAAUGUGGGCAAAAGAUGGGAUAGAACUUACUAGUAAUUGUCUCUGGAUGUAGAAAAAAUUCAAACUUUUUAAAACCUGAUUUCUCGCAUUCCUUGAAAUGACUUUCAACCCUUAACAAAGGUAACCUUCACACACUAGGUGUCCAACUGAAUUUGAUUCUUCAAGCCUCAUGUAACCACCAGUCUCAUUACUUCUCUUGUCUACAGUUCUGAAGCUAAGAGCUCAUUCUAGUAAAAAUGAUGGUAGAUUUUACUGAGGCAAACCAAAAGAUUCUGAACGAUGUUUGGGACACUUAUUUUAUGCAUGUUGAUAAAGAACAACUCUGGUCAAAGAAAUUUCAACGGUCCUUCAAAUAUUACAAUUGAAUUUGGCCUGUUUAUAUUUUUUCCCCUAAAGCCGCUAUUCUUAACCUGGGAUGCAAAGCCCUUUUGGUGAGUGCUCCCAGGGAAUUUAUGAACCACUGAAAUUAUAUACAUAAUUUCAUGUCUAUGUACAUUUUUCUGAGGACGAGGUCUGUAGCUUUCAUUUGCUUACUCUGCAUCUUGCCAUCCUGUUUUCUAUAACGUCUCAUUCCAGAAUUACCAAUUGAGACUAUUUCUAUGAAAACUAGAAAUAUUCCCAAAAAUGCUUUAAUUUUGUCAAACAUGAGGGCAUAGGUCAUAAUAUUGUACCACCAUGGAAGAGACAGGCUUGGGCUUUGCAGUAGACAGUCCUUGGCCUAAAUCCUGGCUCUGCCACUUGCUGGCUGUGACCUUGAGUAAAUUACUUAAUCUCACAAACACAAUUUAUUCAUUUAUAAAAAGGAACUCCUGAUAUCCACAACAUAGAUUUGUUGUGAGGAGUAAAAGAUAUGAAGUAUGCAAAGUGUCUAUCUUACAUGUUGCCUGGUGUGUAAUAGAUGUCCAAUGAAUGGGAAUCCUGUGGAAGGUUACACCUUUCAGAGAGCAGAACAGCAAUUUGAAUUAAGAUAUAAAGUUCCUCUUCAUCCCUAGUGGUAACUAUCAGUCGCUACUCAUCCUAAUGCGAGAAGAAUGCAUGUAUGUGUACGCACAUUCAUAUCUGUAACCAGAUACGGCUGUAGUUUACCCUUUCACUUGCAGAGCAUAAUACAGAUUUCUGUUCUUUUGUAUCGUCAUCAAAUUUGGUAUUGUCAGAAUUUGUCAUUUUUGGCACUUUAUUGGUUUUAAAAUGCUGUCUCACGUAUUCACUUUAUUUUUCCCUGCAGGGUGAAGAUCUUUCCAUAUUUACUGGCCAUGUUCUUAUUUAUUGCUCAUUUUCCUAUUGGUUUUGGUUUUUUUUCUUUUUGAUUUGUGGAAGCCUAAGAAAAUGCAGCUAGUAAUUAAGAUACCAUUUUGGUCUUGCUUGUAAAUGCUGUUGCCUUCAUUAAAUUUCACACUUGUGAAAAGGAGCUAUUAAGAGACAGCCUAAGGUAACACUUUUGAA
This 2547-nucleotide long non-coding RNA is filed under the name Equus asinus (donkey). RNAcentral describes it as "lncRNA (ENSEASG00005032313.1)". The stretch from base 915 to 1064 matches the Rfam family "TTC28 antisense RNA 1 conserved region 2". Lineage: Eukaryota; Metazoa; Chordata; Mammalia; Perissodactyla; Equidae. The record is from RNAcentral.